GAUGAAGAACGUAGCAAAAUGCGAUAAGUAAUGUGAAUUGCAGAAUUCAGUGAAUCAUCGAAUCUUUGAACGCACAUUGCGCCCGCUGGUAUUCCGGCGGGCAUGCCUGUUCGAGCGUCAUUUCAACCCUCUAGCCCCCGGGUUUGGUGUUGGGGAUCGGCUCUGCCCUUCUGGGCGGUGCCGCCCCCGAAAUACAUUGGCGGUCUCGCUGCAGCCUCCAUUGCGUAGUAGCUAACACCUCGCAACUGGAACGCGGCGCGGCCAUGCCGUAAAACCCCAACUUCUGAAUGUUGACCUCGGAUCAGGUAGGAAUACCCGCUGAACUUAAGCAUAUCAAUAAGCGGAGGA
This 348-nucleotide unclassified non-coding RNA is filed under the name soil metagenome. Its description in RNAcentral is "partial contains 5.8S ribosomal RNA, internal transcribed spacer 2, and large subunit ribosomal RNA". The stretch from base 1 to 120 matches the Rfam family "5.8S ribosomal RNA", at positions 35 to 154 of the family's 154-position model. The record is from RNAcentral.